GGAAAAGUGACUGAGCGGUUUAAAGUGUUAGUUUUGAAAACUAUUGUAUUUGUUAAUAAAAUACCGUGGGUUCAAAUCCCACCUUUUCUU
RNAcentral lists this transfer RNA (90 nucleotides) under Coscinodiscus wailesii. Its description in RNAcentral is "tRNA-Ser". It matches the Rfam family "tRNA". Rfam says of the family: Transfer RNA (tRNA) molecules are approximately 80 nucleotides in length. Their secondary structure includes four short double-helical elements and three loops (D, anti-codon, and T loops). Further hydrogen bonds mediate the characteristic L-shaped molecular structure. tRNAs have two regions of fundamental functional importance: the anti-codon, which is responsible for specific mRNA codon recognition, and the 3' end, to which the tRNAs corresponding amino acid is attached (by aminoacyl-tRNA synthetases). tRNAs cope with the degeneracy of the genetic code in two manners: having more than one tRNA (with a specific anti-codon) for a particular amino acid; and 'wobble' base-pairing, i.e. permitting non-standard base-pairing at the 3rd anti-codon position. The record is from RNAcentral. Lineage: Eukaryota; Bacillariophyta; Coscinodiscophyceae; Coscinodiscales; Coscinodiscaceae.